This 74-nucleotide transfer RNA is filed under the name Spirochaetaceae bacterium. RNAcentral describes it as "tRNA-Arg". It matches the Rfam family "tRNA". From Rfam's summary of the family: Transfer RNA (tRNA) molecules are approximately 80 nucleotides in length. Their secondary structure includes four short double-helical elements and three loops (D, anti-codon, and T loops). Lineage: Bacteria; Pseudomonadati; Spirochaetota; Spirochaetia; Spirochaetales; Spirochaetaceae. The record is from RNAcentral.
GGUCCAUUAGCUCAGUUGGAUAGAGCGGCUGCCUCCUAAGCAACAGGUCGCGCGUUCGAAUCGCGCAUGGGCCA